This 395-nucleotide ribosomal RNA is filed under the name uncultured bacterium. Its description in RNAcentral is "partial 16S ribosomal RNA". It matches the Rfam family "Bacterial small subunit ribosomal RNA", at positions 523 to 918 of the family's 1533-position model. The record is from RNAcentral.
CUACGUAGGGGGCGAGCGUUAUCCGGAUUUAUUGGGCGUAAAGCGUGUGUAGGCGGUUUGUUAAGUUUAGGAUUAAAGCCCGAGGCUUAACCUCGGUUCGUCUUAAAAACUGGCAGACUUGAGUGCAGUAGAGGCAAGUGGAAUUUCUAGUGUAGCGGUUAAAUGCGUAGAUAUUAGAAGGAACACCAGUGGCGAAGGCGGCUUACUGGGCUUUUACUGACGCUGAGGCUCGAAAGCGUGGGGAGCAAACAGGAUUAGAUACCCUGGUAGUCCACGCUGUAAACGAUGAUUACUAGGUGUGGGGGGACUGACCCCUUCCGUGCCGCAGUUAACACAAUAAGUAAUCCACCUGGGGAGUACGGCCGCAAGGUUGAAACUCAAAUGAAUUGACGGGG